Molecule: ribosomal RNA, 271 nt
Filed under: uncultured bacterium
Lineage: Bacteria
Description: partial 16S ribosomal RNA
Rfam family: Bacterial small subunit ribosomal RNA
Source: RNAcentral
CCGGCGACCGGCGCACGGGUGAGUAACACGUAUGAAACCUGCCCGUAGCAGGGGGAUAAGCGGAAGAAAUUCCGUCUAAUACCGCGUAACAACCCAUGGAGGCAUCUCUUGUGGGUUUAAAGGAAGCGAUUCCGGCUACGGAUGGUCAUGCGUCGCAUUAGCUUGUUGGCGGGGUAACGGCCCACCAAGGCGACGAUGCGUAGGGGUUCUGAGAGGAAGGCCCCCCACACUGGUACUGAGACACGGACCAGACUCCUACGGAAGGCAGCAG